UGAGUACAAUCCAGAAAACAACAGAGGAGGAGUGCAGCAGCCCAGAGCCAGAACAACCAGAGUAGUAUGACCAAAGAACUACAGACUCUUCACAACCUGCUCAAACUCUUGGUACAGGACCUCACCACAUGGGUCAAGAAGGUUUCCAUCUCAUUUCUACUCUGAAGCUCACCUUCUCCUGCUCAAACUGCUGACAAAUGUUUCUGCUGCUCUAAAGUCUGGUCUCCAGAACUUCCUAAAAACUCUCAAAGUCUCUUCUGCUGCAGGUUGCUUUGUAGAACUGUUCCAGAAAACCUCACUAAACCACAUGGAGGGGCCUCAAGAUAGUCGUCC
Long non-coding RNA from Amphiprion ocellaris (clown anemonefish), 333 nucleotides. Lineage: Eukaryota; Metazoa; Chordata; Actinopteri; Pomacentridae. The record is from Ensembl.